Molecule: long non-coding RNA, 195 nt
Organism: Cottoperca gobio
Lineage: Eukaryota; Metazoa; Chordata; Actinopteri; Perciformes; Bovichtidae
Exons: 3
Source: RefSeq, a predicted model, not a curated record
UCACCAUCGAGCCUCAGCUGGUGCCCGGAGAGCCCGUGAGGGAGAAGAUUAAGGAAGGAAAGUUUGACAGCCAAGAGGACGAGCGCUUAAUGCAGGCGGCAGAGAGGUUUGAGAGGGACGCAGCACAAAGCUACCCAGACCGGCCCUGUGUCACCUCCAUCAUAGACCUCAAUGGGAAGACGGUCUUCAUCACUC